This 1213-nucleotide ribosomal RNA is filed under the name Clostridioides difficile. RNAcentral's name for it is "bacterial LSU rRNA". It matches the Rfam family "Bacterial large subunit ribosomal RNA", at positions 921 to 2152 of the family's 2925-position model. The record is from RNAcentral. Lineage: Bacteria; Bacillati; Bacillota; Clostridia; Peptostreptococcales; Peptostreptococcaceae.
AGGGGGUAUUGCACCUACCGAAGACUAUCAAACUCCGAAUGCCGUCAUCUUAUACUUGGGAGUCAGACUGUGGGUGAUAAGAUUCAUAGUCGAAAGGGCAACAGCCCAGAUCGUCAGCUAAGGUCCCUAAAUGUAAGUUAAGUGGUAAAGGAUGUGGGAUUGCACAGACAACCAGGAUGUUGGCUUAGAAGCAGCCACUCAUUCAAAGAGUGCGUAAUAGCUCACUGGUCGAGUGAUCCUGCGCCGAAGAUUUCCGGGGCUAAAACUUACUACCGAAGCUACGGCAUCAGUAAUGAUGGGUAGGGGAGCUUCCCAUACGGGUUGAAGCAUGACCGUAAGGACAUGUGGACAGUAUGGGAGUGAGAAUGUUGGCAUGAGUAGCGAGAUGUGGGUGAGAAUCCCACAGGCCGUAAACCCAAGGUUUCCAGGGGAAGGUUCGUCCGCCCUGGGUUAGUCGGGACCUAAGCUGAGGCCGAAAGGCGUAGGUGAUGGACAACAGGUUGAUAUUCCUGUACUACCGAUAACCGUUUGAGAGAAGGGAUGACACAGUAGGAUAAGCUAAGCACACUGUUGGUUAUGUGUGCCCAAGCAUUGAGGCAGUCAAAGUAGGCAAAUCCGCUUUGAUAAUGCUGGGAUGUGAUGGGGAGCGAAAUUUAGUAGCGAAGUAGCUGAUUUCACACUGUCAAGAAAAGUCUCUAUCGAGGUUAAAGGUACCCGUACCGCAAACCGACACAGGUGGGUGAGGAGAGUAUCCUAAGGCCAGCGAGAGAACUGUUGUUAAGGAACUCGGCAAAAUGACCCCGUAACUUAGGGAUAAGGGGUGCCACCAUCAGGUGGCCGCAGAGAAUAGGCCCAAGCGACUGUUUACCAAAAACAUAGGUUUCUGCUAAGUCGCAAGACGAUGUAUAGGAGCUGACGCCUGCCCGGUGCUGGAAGGUUAAGGGGAUCUGUUAGAGCAAUCGAAGCAGUGAACUUAAGCCCCAGUAAACGGCGGCCGUAACUAUAACGGUCCUAAGGUAGCGAAAUUCCUUGUCGGGUAAGUUCCGACCCGCACGAAAGGCGUAACGAUUUGGGCACUGUCUCAACAACAGACUCGGUGAAAUUGUAAUUCCGGUGAAGAUGCCGGAUACCUGCGACAGGACGGAAAGACCCCAUGGAGCUUUACUGUAGCUUGACAUUGGGUCUUGGUACUACAUGUACAGGAUAGGUGGGA